This 583-nucleotide ribosomal RNA is filed under the name uncultured bacterium. Its description in RNAcentral is "bacterial SSU rRNA". It matches the Rfam family "Bacterial small subunit ribosomal RNA", at positions 917 to 1501 of the family's 1533-position model. The record is from RNAcentral.
GGGCCCGCACAAGCGGUGGAGUAUGUGGUUUAAUUCGAUGCAACGCGAAGAACCUUACCAAGGCUUGACAUCCCUGGAAUCUUUUGGAAACAGAAGAGUGCCUUCGGGAACCAGGAGACAGGUGGUGCAUGGCUGUCGUCAGCUCGUGUCGUGAGAUGUUGGGUUAAGUCCCGCAACGAGCGCAACCCACGUUUUUAGUUGCCAUCAUUCAGUUGGGCACUCUAGAGAGACUGCCGGUGACAAACCGGAGGAAGGUGUGGAUGACGUCAAGUCAGCAUGCCCCUUACGUCUUGGGCUACACACGUACUACAAUGCUACGGACAAAGGGCAGCCAAUCAGCAAUGACGCGCAAAUCCCAUAAACCGUAGCUCAGUUCAGAUCGUAGGCUGCAACUCGCCUACGUGAAGGCGGAAUCGCUAGUAAUCGCAGGUCAGCAUACUGCGGUGAAUACGUUCCCGGGCCUUGUACACACCGCCCGUCACACCAUGGGAGUUGGUCACGCCCGAAGUGGUUACCCUAACCGUAAGGAGGGGGACCCCUAAGGCAGGGCUGAUGACUGGGGUGAAGUCGUAACAAGGUAACC